RNAcentral lists this ribosomal RNA (434 nucleotides) under uncultured bacterium. Its description in RNAcentral is "bacterial SSU rRNA". It matches the Rfam family "Bacterial small subunit ribosomal RNA", at positions 954 to 1392 of the family's 1533-position model. The record is from RNAcentral.
UGGGAACGCGAAGAACCUUACCUAGACUUGACAUCUCCUGAAUUACCCUUAAUCGGGGAAGCCCUUCGGGGCAGGAAGACAGGUGGUGCAUGGUUGUCGUCAGCUCGUGUCGUGAGAUGUUGGGUUAAGUCCCGCAACGAGCGCAACCCUUAUUGUUAGUUGCUACCAUUUAGUUGAGCACUCUAGCGAGACUGCCCGGGUUAACCGGGAGGAAGGUGGGGAUGACGUCAAAUCAUCAUGCCCCUUAUGUCUAGGGCUACACACGUGCUACAAUGGCUGGUACAGAGAGAUGCUAAACCGUGAGGUGGAGCCAAACUUUAAAACCAGUCUCAGUUCGGAUUGUAGGCUGAAACUCGCCUACAUGAAGCUGGAGUUGCUAGUAAUCGCGAAUCAGAAUGUCGCGGUGAAUACGUUCCCGGGUCUUGUACACACCG